RNAcentral lists this ribosomal RNA (512 nucleotides) under uncultured bacterium. RNAcentral's name for it is "partial 16S ribosomal RNA". The record is from RNAcentral.
GGAGUUAGCCGGUGCUUCUUCUGUGAGUGAUGUCCUUCCUGCCGGUUAUUGACCCGCAGGCCUUCUUCCUCACUGAAAGUGCUUUACAACCCGAAGGCCUUCUUCACACACGCGGCAUGGCUGGAUCAGGGUUGCCCCCAUUGUCCAAUAUUCCCCACUGCUGCCUCCCGUAGGAGUCUGGGCCGUGUCUCAGUCCCAGUGUGGCUGAUCAUCCUCUCAGACCAGCUACGGAUCGUCGCCUUGGUGAGCCGUUACCUCACCAACCAGCUAAUCCGACAUAGGCUCAUCCGAUAGCGCGAGGCCCGAAGGUCCCCCGCUUUCCCCCGUAGGGCGUAUGCGGUAUUAGCCUGGGUUUCCCCAGGUUAUCCCCCACUACCGGGCAGAUUCCUAUGCAUUACUCACCCGUCCGCCGCUCGCCACCAGGGAGCAAGCUCCCCGUGCUGCCGCUCGACUUGCAUGUGUUAGCGUCGCCGCCACGCGUUCACUACUGAGCCACUGAUACAACUACUCGA